This is a long non-coding RNA of Cebus imitator (Panamanian white-faced capuchin), 186 nucleotides long. RefSeq lists it as uncharacterized. NCBI's taxonomy places the organism in Eukaryota, Metazoa, Chordata, Mammalia, Primates, Cebidae. The transcript has 5 exons. The record is from RefSeq and is a predicted model, not a curated record.
AUCUUGUCAGCCAAAGAAAAAAAAAACCCCACCCAACAGAAGACAAACAGAACAGGACACAAAAACAGAGCCGCUGAAGUAAUGCAUGAGUGGGGCUCUGGCAUCCAAACCUCAGGGAGAGCAAUGGGAGCUCCCCUCUUUGUUUUAUCAUUGCUUCCCCCAUCUCUUCAUUCAAGAAGAAAGAGU